RNAcentral lists this ribosomal RNA (497 nucleotides) under uncultured bacterium. Its description in RNAcentral is "partial 16S ribosomal RNA". It matches the Rfam family "Bacterial small subunit ribosomal RNA", at positions 28 to 507 of the family's 1533-position model. The record is from RNAcentral.
GAUGAACGCUGGCGGCGUGCCUAAUACAUGCAAGUCGAGCGAACAGACGAGGAGAUUGCUCCUCUGACGUUAGCGGCGGACGGGUGAGUAACACGUGGAUAACCUCCAUCUAAGACUGGGAUAACUUCGGGAAACCGGAGCUAAUACCGGAUAAUAUAUUGAACCGCAUGGUUCAAUAGUGAAAGACGGUUUUGCUGUCACUUAUAGAUGGAUCCGCGCCGCAUUAGCUAGUUGGUAAGGUAACGGCUUACCAAGGCAACGAUGCGUAGCCGACCUGAGAGGGUGAUCAGCCACACUGGAACUGAGACACGGUCCAGACUCCUACGGGAGGCAGCGGUAGGGAAUCUUCCGCAAUGGGCGAAAGCCUGACGGAGCAACGCCGCGUGAGUGAUGAAGGUCUUCGGAUCGUAAAACUCUGUUAUUAGGGAAGAACAAUUAUGUAAGUAACUAUGCACGUCUUGACGGUACCUAAUCAGAAAGCCACGGCUAACUACGUG